AGUCCAGUUUGAGAAAUGACAAUAAAGCAAAUAGUGGAAUUUAUUGUAACUCUGUGUUUGGCUGUGUGUCAACAAUGCUCGGCGACUGUGUGUAUUUAAGAUUGCAACACUGGAAUGGUGGGGAUUAAAUAGGUCAACACAAAUAGCAGACAGACACCGUGGCAGGCUGGCAGACGGUGCAGUCCGUGCAGGAAGUCCGUCCGAUAUACACGAGCGCUAGCCUUGCCUAAGCCCCACUCCAUGCACAAACUGCCUCCUCGCCCGAAAGGUGACUGACAUCGGUGAGUGGCAAGUGUGGUGAGAAGACAAACACACAAACCACGACGCAUACCUGUUGUUGUAUGUGGAAAAAUCUAUUAAAUUAGGCUAUAUCAACUGAUAGCGCGCAAAGCCGAAAGCCAGCUGAGUCAGAGCUGCAAAGUGAAUUUUAUAUUUAUUUAUUAUUAUGACACACACACACAUACAUACACAAAUACAAACAAAUAUGCAUAAAUACGCGCUUUCAUAAUUAUUUGUACACCUCUAAGUAUUACUUUGUGUCUGUGUCUCUGCCUGCUUGCCUGCAGUCGCGUAUACUCGCGUAGAAUUGGAGUGGAGGCAAACAAACACUCAGUCCGCCGUCGUCAAAGUUUAAGAUAAGAUUGAAGCGCACACUGAUAAGCCCGAUAGUCGGUUCUAAACGUUAAAUGAUGUGGCAUUGAUUCACAUACAAACACACAUCACCAGGUAUAUAUAGUGAACUAUAUAUAUAUACGCGUUAGUUUGAUCAAGUGUACGAGUACCGAGCAGGUGAAGUGAUACUUAACGUUAUAGAGUUAUGAGGUGGUGGGGAUUUAUGACGAAAUACUACCAUUAUUACAACACAAGAACGCAAAUCACGUACGCAGGGCUUCGGAUGAGCGGUAGUCGGAUAGUGACUAUAGCGACGACGUUGGAGUUUACCUCGAGCAGCGCCGUUUAAAGCUGAUUGCGUCGCAAAGCCAAAAGUAGAAAGCGCUGAAGAGCGUAUUGCUUAAUUAUAUAUCAAAGCGAUUUUAAUCUAUCGAAGUGAGCGCGUUACUUCUAUUUUUAUUUUUUUAGAUAUCUCGUUGCCGGAAAUACCACGAAGGGGUUUAUAUUGGCUUGAUGUUACAUGGAAUAUGACUGGAGGCGAGUAUUCGAUAAUUGUGUCGAUUAUUAAUUUGGCACAAAUCUACGUCUCGGAAACGACUAACGACUAUUUUCUUACACAAAAAACACAUGAUUACCACUCGAAUGAUCUUGAACUUAAAUUCUCAAAGAGUAAAAAGCGGUUUCUAAGAGCGAUUGAACUCUAAAUCUCAACAGCGUUUCGGAGACGACUAACAACUGUUUUCUAAUUCAACAAAUGAAUGAUCAAUACUCAAUGAUCAAUACUCAAAUGAUCCUGAAUACCAACUGACAAAAAGAUACAAAUGGUUUCUAAGAGAGAUCGAGCUUCAAGGAGCUAUUUACAAACUCAGAAUGAAGUUCUCACAAAAAACACAUGAUUACCUUACACAAAAAACACAUGAUUACCACUCGAAUGAUCUUGAACUUAAAUUCUCAAAGAGUAAAAAGCGGUUUCUAAGAGCGAUUGAACUCUAAAUCUCAACAGCGUUUCGGAGACGACUAACAACUGUUUUCUAAUUCAACAAAUGAAUGAUCAAUACUCAAUGAUCAAUACUCAAAUGAUCCUGAAUACCAACUGACAAAAAGAUACAAAUGGUUUCUAAGAGCGAUCGAGCUUCAAGGAGCUAUUUACAAACUCAGAAUGAAGUUCUCACAUGAAACAGAAACGCAUAAGAAACGUAUCGGGAAUUCGGAAAGGUCUAAAAACUGUUUAUAGUAAGUGUCCUGCUUCAAUGAAAGUACAUGUAACAGAUACAGAUACAGAUCCUACCUCUGAUCUCACCGAAGAACGAUAAAUGAGCUUUAACAAUCAUUUCUAGCGGCUUUUGCGAGAUCAAAAAACAUUGUAUAUACAUAAAAAUUACAGUUAUGUUGAUUAUUGCCAAUCAGUAGUCCAGAGAAUUCAAUGAUUAAUCUAAAUUUUUAUUGAUCUUGUUAAUGAACUCAAUGAGGGAGUGUAAGAGCUUUCAAAGAGACAUUAGGUUUUUCUACCUAGAAUUUAUUUAAAGUGAUACUUUAUAUUAAUUAUGGAAUAUUCAAGUUUGUUAAAGCCUAAAGUAAUCGCUUUUAAACAUUUCCUGAGACACUAUGAAGCUUAAGCAAUCUUCAUGCUAACUUAGUACAAAUAUUAUUUAUGUAGUUCCAACUGAUUCCAUAUAUUAUAGAUAGCUGAUUGUUUAUAUGAAAUUCUUUCUUUGCUGACUCAAAAGAAUUUUCCAAGCGGAAAUACAAAUACGAAUCUCAUACGCUCUUGGUACCGAGAAAUCAGCUCAGUUUAUGUCAACACAUACACACACAUACAUAGCCAUAUAAAUGUGGCUAUAGAAAAUUUUCCGUAUAAAUAUACUAAGAAAAGCGCUUCAUAAGCUACAUUAAUGCGCUUCAAUAUACAUACAAACAAACAUACAUACAUAGAAAGAAGCGUGUAUGUAGACAGCGGCGAAGAAAAUGGGAAAUUUAUUUUUGGCCAAGCCAAAAUCAUAAACAAGAAAAGCCAAAGUGAGUAAAAGGGAUGGAAGAGCUCGAAUUUCUUACUGAGUUCAUAUGUAUGUAUAUUUGUAAUCAUGUGUGUGUGUGCUUUAAAAUAUAGAUAAACGCGAUCUUAGCCGAUGAGCGCUUGGUUGGAAACAGGCAGAGUGUAUUUAAAAAUAAAUGAAUAGUUCUUUAUGAAUUUGAGA
Long non-coding RNA from Zeugodacus cucurbitae (melon fly), 2807 nucleotides. RefSeq lists it as uncharacterized. Lineage: Eukaryota; Metazoa; Arthropoda; Insecta; Diptera; Tephritidae. The transcript has 3 exons. The record is from RefSeq and is a predicted model, not a curated record.